Molecule: ribosomal RNA, 253 nt
Filed under: uncultured bacterium
Lineage: Bacteria
Description: partial 16S ribosomal RNA
Rfam family: Bacterial small subunit ribosomal RNA
Source: RNAcentral
UACGUAGGGGGCAAGCGUUGUCCGGAUUUAUUGGGCGUAAAGAGCGUGUAGGCGGCCAGGUAGGUCCGCUGUGAAAACCCGAGGCUCAACCUCGGGACGUCGGCGGAAACCAUCUGGCUAGAGUUCGGGAGAGGAGAGUGGAAUUCCCGGUGUAGCGGUGGAAUGCGCAGAUAUCGGGAAGAACACCCGUGGCGAAGGCGGCUCUCUGGAACGAUACUGACGCUGAGACGCGAAAGCGUGGGGAGCGAACAGG